UAAGACGAAGGGGGCUAGCGUUGUUCGGAAUUACUGGGCGUAAAGCGCGUGUAGGCGGUUUUCCAAGUUGGGUGUGAAAGCCUUGGGCUUAACCCAAGAAAUGCACUCAGUACUGGAAGACUAGAGGACCGGAGAGGAUAGUGGAAUUCCCAGUGUAGUGGUGAAAUACGUAGAGAUUGGGAAGAACACCAGUGGCGAAGGCGGCUAUCUGGACGGUUUCUGACGCUAAGACGCGAAAGCGUGGGGAGCAAACAGGAUUAGAUACCCUGGUAGUCCACGCCGUAAACGAUGGGUGCUAGACGUUGGCGGGCUUGCUCGUCAGUGUCGCAGCUAACGCGUUAAGCACCCCGCCUGGGGAGUACGGCCGCAAGGUUG
RNAcentral lists this ribosomal RNA (375 nucleotides) under uncultured bacterium. Its description in RNAcentral is "bacterial SSU rRNA". It matches the Rfam family "Bacterial small subunit ribosomal RNA", at positions 521 to 896 of the family's 1533-position model. The record is from RNAcentral.